Molecule: long non-coding RNA, 829 nt
Organism: Physella acuta
Lineage: Eukaryota; Metazoa; Mollusca; Gastropoda; Physidae
Source: RefSeq, a predicted model, not a curated record
UGUCAAUUGAGUGUUGUUUUUUUUUCUUCCCUGGCGAAAACGCUAGUCUCGGUCGUAUUUGUGAAGGAUUCUCGCUUCUAACAGAAACCCGCACAGUGCCAAAUACCUGGGACUUAAAAUACGAAAGAGGGGAAGGACAGUGACACAUUGUUUCGACGAAAUCGUUGAUGAGUUUGGGAGCGUAACUGUGUUUUUUUUUUUCGAUUACGAGAUCCAAUCCAAGUCUGUCUAGACAGGUAAAGACACUGCAUUCAAUGAGGACAGCCCAUUCAGUUAUCUCAGUCGUUGACUCGCACGAGAAAGGGAGAGAAAAAAAAAACAACCUCGACCUGUCUAGCGAGACUUGGCUCUAAGUGGGGUCAAUCGCGCUUAUCAAAACCAGGGGGCCACAACACUACUGUUCAACACUAGACAGGUAGAAUAUUUAUACCUUAACGGCUGGUGUGUUGACAUUGGGAAACCACGAUGUUGGAGGCGAGUGUGUGAGAGUGUAGCCCUAACAAACUCAGGCACAUCAGGAUUUAGCUUCAAGGACCUAGAGAUACAUUUGAAUAAUCUCUGUUGUGAGGCUUUUACCCUAACAAAGUCAGGCAAAGCAAGAUUUAGCUUCAAGGAUCUGGAGAUAGAUUUGGAUAAUCUCUGUUGUUUUAUAUGCGAGGCUUUCACCCUAACAAUUCAAGGCAAUUUCAUGAUUUUGCUUCAAGGACCUGGAGAAAGAUUUGGAUAAUCUCUGUUGUUUUUUUAAGUGAGGCCUUAACCUCAACAAACUCAAAGCAAAUAAUGUUUUUAUUUCGUACACCUGGAGAACAAUUUGGAUGACUUUACUUUU